ACUUAUAUAGUAUAUAUAUAUUAUUUGUGACUUCCAAUUACAAGAACUAAAUUUUUAGUAUAAGUA
RNAcentral lists this transfer RNA (66 nucleotides) under Nannochorista philpotti. RNAcentral describes it as "tRNA-Gly". The record is from RNAcentral. Lineage: Eukaryota; Metazoa; Arthropoda; Insecta; Mecoptera; Nannochoristidae.